This 726-nucleotide ribosomal RNA is filed under the name uncultured bacterium. RNAcentral's name for it is "bacterial SSU rRNA". It matches the Rfam family "Bacterial small subunit ribosomal RNA", at positions 789 to 1515 of the family's 1533-position model. The record is from RNAcentral.
GGUAGUCCACGCCGUAAACGAUGUCGACUUGGAGGUUGUGCCCUUGAGGCGUGGCUUCCGGAGCUAACGCGUUAAGUCGACCGCCUGGGGAGUACGGCCGCAAGGUUAAAACUCAAAUGAAUUGACGGGGGCCCGCACAAGCGGUGGAGCAUGUGGUUUAAUUCGAUGCAACGCGAAGAACCUUACCUACUCUUGACAUCCAGAGAACUUAGCAGAGAUGCUUUGGUGCCUUCGGGAACUCUGAGACAGGUGCUGCAUGGCUGUCGUCAGCUCGUGUUGUGAAAUGUUGGGUUAAGUCCCGCAACGAGCGCAACCCUUAUCCUUUGUUGCCAGCGGUUCGGCCGGGAACUCAAAGGAGACUGCCAGUGAUAAACUGGAGGAAGGUGGGGAUGACGUCAAGUCAUCAUGGCCCUUACGAGUAGGGCUACACACGUGCUACAAUGGCGCAUACAAAGAGAAGCGACCUCGCGAGAGCAAGCGGACCUCAUAAAGUGCGUCGUAGUCCGGAUUGGAGUCUGCAACUCGACUCCAUGAAGUCGGAAUCGCUAGUAAUCGUAGAUCAGAAUGCUACGGUGAAUACGUUCCCGGGCCUUGUACACACCGCCCGUCACACCAUGGGAGUGGGUUGCAAAAGAAGUAGGUAGCUUAACCUUCGGGAGGGCGCUUACCACUUUGUGAUUCAUGACUGGGGUGAAGUCGUAACAAGGUAACCGUAGGGGAACCUGC